GAAAUGCGAUACGUCAUGCGAAUUGCAAAACCAGUGAGUCAUCAAAACUUUGAACGCAACUUGCACUUCCCUUUGGGGAGUAUGUCUGUUGGAGUGCUUGUUCAUCCCCACCACAACCCACUAUCCCUAAUAAGAUGGUAGGAUGUGAAGACUGACUCUGCAUUCAUUUAAUUGAAUCCAGUGAUCAUAGAUGUAACAAAAAUCAAAUAUCCGAUCCCGAGUAGUUGUAAUCAGUAUCUUUUCGGAGAUAUACGACUCGAAGGAACGCGACGUCAAACUUCGGUUGAGAAUCGUGUUUCAUCAGUCUUAAUGAUUCCCCAAUUACCCAGUCUCGCUUAUUUUCGAUCGAGCCUCCAAUCAGUCAAGAAUACCCGCUGAAUUUAA
This 384-nucleotide unclassified non-coding RNA is filed under the name uncultured fungus. Its description in RNAcentral is "sequence contains ITS1". The stretch from base 1 to 99 matches the Rfam family "5.8S ribosomal RNA", at positions 50 to 154 of the family's 154-position model. Lineage: Eukaryota; Fungi. The record is from RNAcentral.